UAGGGAAUCUUCCGCAAUGGACGAAAGUCUGACGGAGCAACGCCGCGUGAGUGAAGAAGGAUUUCGGUUCGUAAAACUCUGUUGUUAGGGAAGAAAAAAUGUAUAGUAACUAUAUACAAAAGAGACGGUACCUAACCAGAAAGCCACGGCUAACUACGUGCCAGCAGCCGCGGUAAUACGUAGGUGGCAAGCGUUGUCCGGAAUUAUUGGGCGUAAAGCGCGCGCAGGUGGUUUAGAAAGUCUGAUGUGAAAGCCCACGGCUCAACCGUGGAGGGUCAUUGGAAACGAAUAAACUUGAGUGCAGGAGAGAAAAGUGGAAUUCCUAGGGUAGCGGUGAAAUGAGUAGAGAAUAGGAGGAAAACCGGUGGCGAAAGCGGCUUUUUGGCCUGCAACUGACACUGAGGCGCGAAAGCGUGGGGAGCAAACAGG
Molecule: ribosomal RNA, 429 nt
Filed under: Verrucomicrobiota bacterium
Lineage: Bacteria; Pseudomonadati; Verrucomicrobiota
Description: Verrucomicrobia bacterium partial 16S ribosomal RNA
Rfam family: Bacterial small subunit ribosomal RNA
Source: RNAcentral